AUUGAACGCUGGCGGCAGGCCUAACACAUGCGAGUCGAACGAGUGGCGGACGGGUGAGUAAUGUCUGGGAAACUGCCCGAUGGAGGGGGAUAACUACUGGAAACGGUAGCUAAUACCGCAUACCAUCGGAUGUGCCCAGAUGGGAUUAGCUAGUAGGUGGGGUAACGGCUCACCUAGGCGACGAUCCCUAGCUGGUCUGAGAGGAUGACCGGCCACACUGGGACUGAGACACGGCCCAGACUCCGACGGGAGGCAGCAGUGGGGAAUAUUGGGCAAUGGGCGAAAGCCUGAUGCAGCCAUGCCGCGUGAAUGAAGAAGGUCUUCGGAUCGUAAAGUACUUUCGGCAAGGAAGCGUUACUCGCCGAAGAAGCACCGGCUAACUCCGUGCCAGCAGCCGCGGUAAUUC
Molecule: ribosomal RNA, 406 nt
Filed under: uncultured bacterium
Lineage: Bacteria
Description: partial 16S ribosomal RNA
Rfam family: Bacterial small subunit ribosomal RNA
Source: RNAcentral